RNAcentral lists this ribosomal RNA (1673 nucleotides) under Pseudaphanostoma herringi. Its description in RNAcentral is "SSU rRNA". It matches the Rfam family "Eukaryotic small subunit ribosomal RNA". Lineage: Eukaryota; Metazoa; Xenacoelomorpha; Acoela; Convolutidae. The record is from RNAcentral.
AUGCAUGUGUAAGUUCAGCUUUUGUAUAGUGAAACCGCGGAUGGCUCAUUAAAUCAGUUAUAGUUUCAUUAGACAUAAAGUACAUGGAUAUCUGCAGUAACUCUGUAGUUAAUACACGCACGAUGCCUGGAGACGGGUAUUCAAUUGUAUAAGGGAUCUUCGCUUUGUUAACUCAUUGCCCAUUUGUGAAUAUAUGUAACUGACUUAGUCCCAAGCCUUUGCGCAGGGGCAAUAAAUGAGAAGUUUCUGCCCCAUCAACUUUCGACGGUAGGGUAUUUUCCUACGGUGGUUGUAACGGGUAACGGGGAAUCAGGGUUCGAUUCCGGAGAGGGAGCUUGAGAGAUGGCUACCACAUCUAAGGAAGGCAGCAGGCGCGUAAAUUACCCAAUUGCGGAUAGCAGAGGUAGUGACAAAAAAUAACGAUGCGGUACAUUAUGUAUUGUGAUUGGAAUGGAAUGAUUGUAAAGCAUUUUUUGAGGAGCAAGUGGAGGGCAAGUCUGGUGCCAGCAGCCGCGGUAAUACCAGCCUUCACAAGCAUAUACAAAUGUUGUUGCGUUUAAAAAGCUCGUAGUUGAAUUUGUUGCGUCUCCUUUUUUUAGCCUACGGGCCCAGAUUGGGGGCGUAUCAGUCCGCCUUGCGCUUAUUUGCACUUCAUUGUGUUGAGUGGGCAAUAUGCAUAUACAACUUUGAGAAAAUUUGAGUGUUUAAAGCAGCCUUUGGGUUUGAAUGCCGUAGCAUGGAAUUGUAGAAAAUGACUUACGGUCCAUUUUGUCGGUCAGGAACUGUAGUAAUGAUUAAAAAGGACAGGCGGGGACAUUCGAAUUGUUGCGUUAGAGGUGAAAUUCUUGGAUCGCAGCAAGACGAACCAAAGCGAAAGCAUUUGUCAAGAAUGUUUUUGUUAAUCAAGAACGAUAGUCAGAGUAUUGAAGAGGAUUAGAUACCCUCGUAAUUCUAACUGUAAACGAUACAGGCUUGAGAUCCGUUAUUUUUAGUGCAGAUUUGAUGGGAAGUUAUCCGGUAAACCAAAGCUAAUAUGUUACGGGGGAAGUAUGGUUGCAAAAUUGAAACUUAAAGGAAUUGACGGAAGGGCACCACCAGGAGUGGAGCUUGCGGCUUAAUUUGACUCAACACGGGAAAACUCACCAGAACCAGACAUGACAAGGAUUCACACGAUGUUUUUUUCUGAUGAUUUCAUGGGUGGUGGUGCAUGGCCGUUCCUAGUUAGUGGAGUGAUCUGUCUGGUUGAUUCCGAUAACGAACGAGAUUUUAUCCAUCUUAGUAGGAUUCGCUUUUUAUGGCGAAGUCUUCUUAGAGGAACUAUGAGGAAUGAAUAAUACCCCAAGGAAGUUGGGUCAUAACAGGUCUGUGAUGCCCUUAGAUGUUCUGGGCUGCACGCGUGCUACACUGAUGCUAACAAAAUGUUUAUAUCUUGUUCGCUAUGGAUUAGGUAAUCAAGAAAUAAGUUUUCAUGCUUGGGAUCGGUAAUUGAAAUUUUGUCGUGAACGAGGAAUUCCUAGUAAGCACUGGUCAGCAGCCAAUGUUGAUUAUGUCCCUGCCCUUUGUACACACCGCCGUCGCUACUACUGAUUGGGCGUUCAAGUGAGAGACUUGGAUGUUUGAUGCUCGAUGACCGUCGUGGUAUCAGGAUGAAAAGACUCAAGCUUGAGUGUCUA